Molecule: ribosomal RNA, 496 nt
Filed under: uncultured bacterium
Lineage: Bacteria
Description: partial 16S ribosomal RNA
Rfam family: Bacterial small subunit ribosomal RNA
Source: RNAcentral
GAUGAACGCUGGCGGCGUGCCUAAUACAUGCAAGUCGAGCGAACAGACGAGGAGCUUGCUCCUCUGACGUUAGCGGCGGACGGGUGAGUAACACGUGGAUAACCUACCUAUAAGACUGGGAUAACUUCGGGAAACCGGAGCUACUACCGGAUAAUAUAUUGAACCGCAUGGUUCAAUAGUGAAAGACGGUUUUGCUGUCACUUAUAGAUGGAUCCGCGCCGCAUUAGCUAGUUGGUAAGGUAACGGCUUACCAAGGCGACGAUGCGUAGCCGACCUGAGAGGGUGAUCGGCAACACUGGACCUGAGACACGGUCCAGACUCCUACGGGAGGCAGCAGUGGGGAAUCUGGCGAAAUGGGCGAAAGCCUGACGGGGCAAAGCCGCGUGAGUGAGGAAGGGCUUCGGUUCGUAAAACUCUGUUAUUAGGGAAGAAAAAAUGUGUAAGUAACGAUGCACGUCUGGACGGUACCAAAGCAGAAAGCCACGGCUAACUACGU